GGUUCUAUGGUCUAGCGGUUAGGACAUCGGACUCUGAAUCCGAUAGCCCGAGUUCAAUUCUCGGUAGGACCU
This is a transfer RNA of Ipomoea nil (Japanese morning glory), 72 nucleotides long. It matches the Rfam family "tRNA". From Rfam's summary of the family: Transfer RNA (tRNA) molecules are approximately 80 nucleotides in length. Their secondary structure includes four short double-helical elements and three loops (D, anti-codon, and T loops). Lineage: Eukaryota; Viridiplantae; Streptophyta; Magnoliopsida; Solanales; Convolvulaceae. The record is from Rfam.